Molecule: ribosomal RNA, 465 nt
Filed under: uncultured Aquabacterium sp.
Lineage: Bacteria; Pseudomonadati; Pseudomonadota; Betaproteobacteria; Burkholderiales; Sphaerotilaceae
Description: bacterial SSU rRNA
Rfam family: Bacterial small subunit ribosomal RNA
Source: RNAcentral
CCUACGGGGGGCUGCAGUGGGGAAUUUUGGACAAUGGGGGCAACCCUGAUCCAGCAAUGCCGCGUGCAGGAAGAAGGCCUUCGGGUUGUAAACUGCUUUUGUCAGGGAAGAAAUCCUGUGGGUUAAUACCUCGUGGGGAUGACGGUACCUGAAGAAUAAGCACCGGCUAACUACGUGCCAGCAGCCGCGGUAAUACGUAGGGUGCGAGCGUUAAUCGGAAUUACUGGGCGUAAAGCGUGCGCAGGCGGUUUUGUAAGACAGAGGUGAAAUCCCCGGGCUCAACCUGGGAACUGCCUUUGUGACUGCAAGGCUGGAGUACGGCAGAGGGGGAUGGAAUUCCGCGUGUAGCAGUGAAAUGCGUAGAUAUGCGGAGGAACACCGAUGGCGAAGGCAAUCCCCUGGGCCUGUACUGACGCUCAUGCACGAAAGCGUGGGGAGCAAACAGGAUUAGAUACCCCGGUAGUC